CCAAGGAGUCUAACAUGUGCGCGAGUCGUUGGGCUUUACGAAACCCGCAGGCGCAAUGAAAGUGAAGGGCGUUCUCGGAGCGUCCGUGGCAGGAUCCGUCGCAUCCCUAACAGGGCGACGGCGCACUGCCGGCCCGUCUCGGUCGCCCCGUCGACGAGGCGGAGCAGGAGCGUACACGUUGGGACCCGAAAGAUGGUGAACUAUGCCUGAGUAGGACGAAGUCAGGGGAAACCCUGAUGGAGGUCCGUAGCGAUUCUGACGUGCAAAUCGAUCGUCGAACUUGGGUAUAGGGGCGAAAGACUAAUCGAACCGUCUA
Molecule: ribosomal RNA, 316 nt
Filed under: Paralepidonotus ampulliferus
Lineage: Eukaryota; Metazoa; Annelida; Polychaeta; Phyllodocida; Polynoidae
Description: eukaryotic LSU rRNA
Rfam family: Eukaryotic large subunit ribosomal RNA
Source: RNAcentral